UUAUCAACAUGGAUUAAAAUCAAACUCCAAGAAACAAAAUUGGGUACCUAUUAUAACUUUGGGAUUCUUUUUGUAAAUUAGAGAAUUGAAUUUGAGAGUAAACUUGAUAAAGUUUUUUAAAACAUUGAUUUUGAAUGAUUUGAGUAUGUAAUGAAUUUUAAAGAGUUAUGCAAAGUCACGGUUGUUUUGGGUGACUCUA
Molecule: long non-coding RNA, 199 nt
Filed under: Physcomitrium patens
Lineage: Eukaryota; Viridiplantae; Streptophyta; Bryopsida; Funariales; Funariaceae
Description: long non-coding RNA (PPAT_LNC011788)
Source: RNAcentral